Molecule: ribosomal RNA, 492 nt
Filed under: uncultured bacterium
Lineage: Bacteria
Description: partial 16S ribosomal RNA
Rfam family: Bacterial small subunit ribosomal RNA
Source: RNAcentral
AGUGAACGCUGGCGGUAGGCCUAACACAUGCAAGUCGAACGGCAGCACAGUAAGAGCUUGCUCUUACGGGUGGCGAGUGGCGGACGGGUGAGGAAUACAUCUGAAUCUACUUUUUCGUGGGGGAUAACGUAGGGAAACUUACGCUAAUACCGCAUACGACCUACGGGUGAAAGCAGGGGAUCUUCGGACCUUGCGCGAUUGAAUGAGCCGAUGUCGGAUUAGCUAGUUGGCGGGGUAAAGGCCCACCAAGGCGACGAUCCGUAGCUGGUCUGAGAGGAUGAUCAGCCACACUGGAACUGAGACACGGUCCAGACUCCUACGGGAGGCAGCAGUGGGGAAUAUUGGACAAUGGGCGCAAGCCUGAUCCAGCCCUACCGCGUGGGUGAAGAAGGCCUUCGGGUUGUAAAGCCCUUUUGUUGGGAAAGAAAAGCAGCAGGUUAAUACCCCGCUGUUCUGACGGUACCCAAAGAAUAAGCACCGGCUAACUUCGUG